This 500-nucleotide ribosomal RNA is filed under the name uncultured bacterium. RNAcentral's name for it is "partial 16S ribosomal RNA". It matches the Rfam family "Bacterial small subunit ribosomal RNA", at positions 28 to 523 of the family's 1533-position model. The record is from RNAcentral.
GACGAACGCUGGCGGAAUGCUCUACACAUGCAAGUCGAACGGCAGCACGGACUUCGGUCUGGUGGCGAGUGGCGAACGGGUGAGUAACAUAUCGGAACGUAUCCAAUAAUGGGGGAUAACGAGUCGAAAGAUUCGCUAAUACCGCAUACGCCCUACGGGGGAAAGCUGGGGACCUUCGGGCCUGGCGUUAAUGGAGCGGCCGAUAUCUGAUUAGCUAGUUGGUGAGGUAAAGGCUCACCAAGGCGACGAUCAGUAGCUGGUCUGAGAGGACGACCAGCCACACUGGAACUGAGACACGGUCCAGACUCCUACGGGAGGCAGCAGUGGGGAAUUUUGGACAAUGGGCGCAAGCCUGAUCCAGCCAUUCCGCGUGAGUGAAGAAGGCCUUCGGGUUGUAAAGCUCUUUCGCAAGGGAAGAAAACUUAGCCACUAACAUUGGUUGAGGUUGACGGUACCUUGAUAAGAAGCACCGGCUAACUACGUGCCAGCCGCCGCCGCGG